GGUUCAAUGGUGUAGUGGUUAGCACAUUUGCCUUACACACAGGAGAUCCUGGGUUCAAUUCCCAGUGGAACCA
This is a non-coding RNA of Mustela lutreola (European mink), 73 nucleotides long. Lineage: Eukaryota; Metazoa; Chordata; Mammalia; Carnivora; Mustelidae. The record is from the annotation of a RefSeq genome assembly.